GUACACGCUGUGACUAGCAUAUCAAUAAGCGGAGGAAAAGAAACUAACAAGGAUUCCCUCAGUAACGGCGAGUGAAGCGGGAAGAGCUCAAAUUUGAAAUCUUGAAAGGUCACCUUUCACGAAUUGUAGUUUAAAGAAGUGUUUUCUGUUACGAUCGUAAUAUAAGUUCUUUGGAAUAGGACAUCACUAGAGGGUGAGAAUCCCGUCUAUGAUUGCAUAUUUUCAGCUUUGUGAUACACUUUCAAAGAGUCGGAUUGUUUGGGAAUGCAGUCCAAAACUGGGUAGGUAAAUUUCAUUCUAAGCUAAAUAUUGGCGAGAGACCGAUAGCGAACAAGUACCGUGAGGGAAAGAUGAAAAGAACUUUGAAAAGAGAGUUAAAUAGUACGUGAAAUUGUCAAAAGGGAAGCGUUUAACACCAGUGUUGUUUUCUGAAAAUCAACCUCUGUUAGCUUUAUGCAUGUUUGUUUAGACCUAAUCAGCUAUCUUUCAUGUUCUAUUGUUUGCAGUGGUGCACUUUUCAGUUUACAGGUCAACAUCAGUUUUUUUUACCGUAAAAAAGUUAAAGAAAGGUAGCUCAUGGCUCCGGUCGUGAGUGUUAUAGUCUUUUUCCUAUGCGGUAGGAGAGACUGAGGUCUGCAGUGUAGGCUAUUUGGCUAGAUACUCAGGUGCUAUGUGAUACCAUUUCAUAAACAACUUGUUGAUUAUGUUUUGUCUAUUGCAUACUCGCUUGUACUAUCAUACCUACGCUUAGGAUGUUGAGUAGCGACAUACGCAC
Molecule: ribosomal RNA, 775 nt
Filed under: uncultured Neocallimastigales
Lineage: Eukaryota; Fungi; Neocallimastigomycota; Neocallimastigomycetes; Neocallimastigales
Description: partial large subunit ribosomal RNA
Rfam family: Eukaryotic large subunit ribosomal RNA (bases 4-665)
Source: RNAcentral